UACACUCCUGCGGGAGGCAGCAGUGGGGAAUAUUGGACAAUGGGCGCAAGCCUGAUCCAGCCAUGCCGCGUGAGUGAUGAAGGCCCUAGGGUUGUAAAGCUCUUUCACCGGUGAAGAUAAUGACGGUAACCGGAGAAGAAGCCCCGGCUAACUUCGUGCCACCAGCCGCGGUAAUACGCAGGGGGCUAGCGUUGUUCGGAUUUACUGGGCGUAAAGCGCACGUAGGCGGACUAUUAAGUCAGGGGUGAAAUCCCCGGGCUCAACCCCGGAACUGCCUUUGAUACUGGUAGUCUUGAGUUCGAGAGAGGUGAGUGGAAUUCCGAGUGUAGAGGUGAAAUUCGUAGAUAUUCGGAGGAACACCAGUGGCGAAGGCGGCUCACUGGCUCGAUACUGACGCUGAGGUGCGAAAGCGUGGGGAGCAAACAGGAUUAGAAACCCGAGUAGUCCCA
RNAcentral lists this ribosomal RNA (449 nucleotides) under uncultured organism. Its description in RNAcentral is "partial 16S ribosomal RNA". It matches the Rfam family "Bacterial small subunit ribosomal RNA", at positions 332 to 797 of the family's 1533-position model. The record is from RNAcentral.